Molecule: small nuclear RNA, 161 nt
Filed under: Triticum aestivum (bread wheat)
Lineage: Eukaryota; Viridiplantae; Streptophyta; Magnoliopsida; Poales; Poaceae
Description: snRNA U1
Rfam family: U1 spliceosomal RNA
About the family: U1 is a small nuclear RNA (snRNA) component of the spliceosome (involved in pre-mRNA splicing). Its 5' end forms complementary base pairs with the 5' splice junction, thus defining the 5' donor site of an intron. There are significant differences in sequence and secondary structure between metazoan and yeast U1 snRNAs, the latter being much longer (568 nucleotides as compared to 164 nucleotides in human).
Source: Rfam by way of RNAcentral
AUACUUACCUGGACGGGGUCGACGGCUGAUCAAGAAGAGUUGUGGCCUAAGCUAGUGGUCCACAUUGCAUUUGGUGGAUGCGCUGGCUUACCAUCUCCCCAAGUGGGAGAGUGGACGUCAUAAUUUAUGGUAGAGGGGAUACGCGUUCGCGCGGCCCCUGC